Molecule: long non-coding RNA, 474 nt
Filed under: Vigna radiata
Lineage: Eukaryota; Viridiplantae; Streptophyta; Magnoliopsida; Fabales; Fabaceae
Description: long non-coding RNA (VRAD_LNC004538)
Source: RNAcentral
GAGAAAGAGAAAUAUUGUUAAGGAUAAUGGGGAGAUGUAGAGUAUUGUUGGAAUAAAAGAAAACAGUGAGGAGGUCUAGCAUAUUUUUGAAAUAAAUUAAAAUAGUGGGGAGGUGUAGGACCCACUUGGGGAGGUGGAGGGAGUAACACCCAUGCUCCAUUAAUGCAUAGAGAAAGAGAAAGAUUAUUGAGGAUAAUGAGAAGAUGUAAAGUAUUUUUGGAAUAAAAAAAAAUAAUAAGAGAAGUAUAGAGUAUUUUUGGAAUAAAAGAAACUAGUGGAGAGGUGGAUGAAUAGUUACAAUGGUGGAGAGAGCAACACCCUUACCUUUAUGUUUAGAACUGCACGAUUAGGUGUUAGAUUUACAAGACCUUUUUCUUCCUGCACCCUUAUACUCCAGGCAAAAAGACUAUAUUAUCCUUCCUUGCUCUACCACAUCACUGUUGUUGGAUUGCUGUCAUUGUGGCCGUCUUCACC